Molecule: ribosomal RNA, 253 nt
Filed under: uncultured bacterium
Lineage: Bacteria
Description: partial 16S ribosomal RNA
Rfam family: Bacterial small subunit ribosomal RNA
Source: RNAcentral
UACGUAGGGCGCGAGCGUUGUCCGGAUUUAUUGGGCGUAAAGAGCUCGUAGGCGGCUUGUCGCGUCGACUGUGAAAACCCGGGGCUUAACUUCGGGCUGGCAGUCGAUACGGGCGGGCUGGAGUUCGGUAGGGGAGACUGGAAUUCCUGGUGUAGCGGUGAAAUGCGCAGAUAUCAGGAGGAACACCGGUGGCGAAGGCGGGUCUCUGGGCCGAUACUGACGCUGAGGAGCGAAAGCGUGGGGAGCGAACAGG